RNAcentral lists this small nucleolar RNA (130 nucleotides) under Caenorhabditis brenneri. RNAcentral describes it as "snoRNA CBN33601". It matches the Rfam family "Caenorhabditis snoRNA ceN92". Lineage: Eukaryota; Metazoa; Nematoda; Chromadorea; Rhabditida; Rhabditidae. The record is from Rfam by way of RNAcentral.
GUGCACAUACUCAUUUUGAGAAAGUUUUGUAGUCAAAGUUUUCCAGUAGUAUUGUGCGAGAAAAACCGUUCUACUGCCACACGGGUACUGGCCUAUAAGCUGUAUCGGUUCCAAAGUUGUUCGAACAUUU